CCUACGGGCGGCAGCAGUGAGGAAUAUUGGUCAAUGGGCGGGAGCCUGAACCAGCCAAGUCGCGUGAGGGAAGACGGUCCUAUGGAUUGUAAACCUCUUUAGGCGGGGAGCAAUGCCGGGCACGCGUGCCCGGAGGGAGAGUACCCGCAGAAUAAGCAUCGGCUAACUCCGUGCCAGCAGCCGCGGUAAUACGGAGGAUGCGAGCGUUAUCCGGAUUUAUUGGGUUUAAGGGGUGCGUAGGCGGAUUUUUAAGUCAGCGGUAAAAUGUCCGGGCUCAACCCGGGCCGGCCGUUGAAACUGGGGAGCUUGAGUGGGCGAGGAGUAUGCGGAAUGCGUGGUGUAGCGGUGAAAUGCAUAGAUAUCACGCAGAACUCCGAUUGCGAAGGCAGCAUACCGGCGCCCGACUGACGCUGAGGCACGAAAGCGUGGGGAUCGAACAGGAUUAGAUACCCGGGUAGUC
Molecule: ribosomal RNA, 460 nt
Filed under: uncultured bacterium
Lineage: Bacteria
Description: partial 16S ribosomal RNA
Rfam family: Bacterial small subunit ribosomal RNA
Source: RNAcentral